RNAcentral lists this ribosomal RNA (459 nucleotides) under uncultured bacterium. RNAcentral describes it as "partial 16S ribosomal RNA". It matches the Rfam family "Bacterial small subunit ribosomal RNA", at positions 338 to 795 of the family's 1533-position model. The record is from RNAcentral.
UCUACGGGUGGCUGCAGUGAGGAAUAUUGGUCAAUGGCCGAGAGGCUGAACCAGCCAAGUCGCGUGAGGGAAGAAUGUCCUAUGGAUUGUAAACCUCUUUUGUCAGGGAGCAAAGUCACCCACGUGUGGGUGUUGGAGAGUACCUGAAGAAAAAGCAUCGGCUAACUCCGUGCCAGCAGCCGCGGUAAUACGGAGGAUGCGAGCUUUAUCCGGAUUUAUUGGGGUUAAAGGGGGCGUAGGCGGGUUAUCAAGUCAGCGGUAAAAUCGGGGAGCUCAACUCCAUCCAGCCGUUGAAACUGAUGAGCUGGAGUGGGCGAGAGGUAGGCGGAAUGAGUGGUGUAGCGGUGAAAUGCAUAGAUAUCACGCAGAACACAGAUUGCGAAGGCAGCAUACCGGCGCCCGACUGACGCUGAAGCACGAAAGCGUGGGUAUCGAACAGGAUUAGAUACCCUAGUAGUC